Molecule: ribosomal RNA, 514 nt
Filed under: Anomala sp. 203
Lineage: Eukaryota; Metazoa; Arthropoda; Insecta; Coleoptera; Scarabaeidae
Description: partial 16S ribosomal RNA
Rfam family: Bacterial large subunit ribosomal RNA
Source: RNAcentral
GUCUUUUUGAUUAUAAUUUAAAGUCUGACCUGCCCAAUGAGUAGUUGAAUGGCCGCGGUAAUUUGACCGUGCAAAGGUAGCAUAAUCAUUAGUUUUUUAAUUGGAAGCUGGAAUGAAUGGUUGGACGAGAAAAUAACUGUCUCAAUUUAAUUGAAUGUAGAAUUUUAUCUAUAAGUAAAAAAGCUUAUAUAAUUUUAAAAGACGAGAAGACCCUAUAGAGUUUAAUAUUUUAUUAUAUUUAUUAAGUUUAGGAUAAUUAUGUUUUUUAUAUAAUAAAGUAUUUUGCUGGGGCAGCAGAAAGAUUUAAUUAACUUUUUUUAAUUAAAUUACAUUGAUUUAUGAGUUAUUGAUCCAUUUUUUAUGAUUAUAAGAUUAAAUUACCUUAGGGAUAACAGCGUAAUUUUUUUUUAGAGUUCUUAUCGAAAAAAGAGUUUGCGACCUCGAUGUUGGAUUAAAAUUAACUUUUGGUGUAGGAGCUAAAAGGUUAGGUCUGUUCGACCUUUAAAAUUUUACA